AUACGUAGGGAGCGAGCGUUGUCCGGAAUUACUGGGUGUAAAGGGAGCGUUGGCGGGAGUGCAAGUCAGAUGUGAAAUACAUGGGCUCAACCCAUGGGCUGCAUUUGAAACUGCAUUUCUUGAGUGAAGUAGAGCUAAGCGGAAUUCCUGGUGUAGCGGUGAAAUGCGUAGAUAUCAGGAGGAACACCGGUGGCGAAGGCGGCUUACUGGGCUUUUACUGACGCUGAGGCUCGAAAGCGUGGGGAGCAAACAGGAUUAGAUACCCUGGUAGUCCACGCUGUAAACGAUGAUUACUAGGUGUGGGGGGACUGACCCCUUCCGUGCCGCAGUUAACACAAUAAGUAUUCCGCCUGGGGAGUACGGCCGCAAGGUUGAAACUCAAAUGAAUUGACGGGG
RNAcentral lists this ribosomal RNA (396 nucleotides) under uncultured bacterium. RNAcentral describes it as "partial 16S ribosomal RNA". It matches the Rfam family "Bacterial small subunit ribosomal RNA", at positions 523 to 918 of the family's 1533-position model. The record is from RNAcentral.